Molecule: long non-coding RNA, 698 nt
Organism: Zingiber officinale
Lineage: Eukaryota; Viridiplantae; Streptophyta; Magnoliopsida; Zingiberales; Zingiberaceae
Exons: 2
Source: RefSeq, a predicted model, not a curated record
CUCCAUGAUCUAAGCACAAGUUGUUCCGAUAAACAAGGCUGUCUUAAAUGGCUGUGUGGCAAUGUGCAUGAAACUGCUCACCUCGUACCCUUCCAAGGGAUAGAAUGGAAUUCAAAUUCCGGCCGUGCCAAAGAGUAGCAGAAACGCAUCAUCAGCCAAUUAACUCAGGCAAGGCAAGCUAUAAACAUUUCCUCAUCCGCUCAAACAAUACUUCAACUUUUGCUGCGUGCCUACAUUUUGACACCCACAUGAUUGAUUAUACGAAGAACUCCAAAGGAAAUUAAUGGCAACCAAUGUACAACAUCAUCACAUGGUUACUUCCUUCACAUGAUCUCAAUCAAAAAUGAGGAGAGCAUGAAGCUGACAGGUUCAUGAUUGAAGACACAAUCAAAAGGAGAGCAAGUAGCACAAGGCAUUCAUUGAUUGGUAUGGUGAUGAAGGAUUGUUUGAGAGUGGAAGGGAUAAUAUUGGAUGAGGUAAGUAAUAAGUGCAUGGCAAGUGGCGUUGGUAGCGUCCCAAAGAGAUAAGAAGGAAGGUAUACGAUUUAUAUUUACAAUAAAUAUUGAAUGUGACCAUGGGAAAUUCAGAGAGAUGACGAAUGGUCUUUGACUUGAAAUUUGGCCAUUCAUUUAUUUUUCCUUUUAAACUAUACAUUACAUUGAUAAAAUACCUGAAGCAUGCGCAAUGAACAUGUAAAA